ACUUUCCUGGGCAGAGAAUGUCUGUGUCAGGCAAGAAUUAGAGACAAGCGGUCAGCAGAGCCUCAGUGCUGAUCGUCGGAGCUUGGGACCAGGAAGAUGUCGAAUGAACUUGAUUUCAGGUCUGUGCGGCUUCUAAAGAACGAUCCAGUCAACUUGCAGAAAUUCUCUUACACUAGUGAGGAUGAGGCCUGGAAGACGUACCUAGAAAACCCGUUGACAGCUGCCACAAAGGCCAUGAUGAGAGUCAAUGGAGAUGAUGACAGUGUUGCGGCCUUGAGCUUCCUCUAUGAUUACUACAUGGUACUACCAUGGCAUGGAAUAUGAGACGGACCUCACCCCCCUUGAAAGCCCCACACACUUCAUGAAAUUCCUGACAGACAACGUAUCUGGAACCCCAGAGUACCCAGAUUUGCUCAAGAAGAAUAACCUGAUGAGCUUGGAGGGGGCCUUGCCCACCCCUGGCAAGGCAGCUCCCCUCCCUGCAGGCCCCAGCAAGCUGGAGGCCAGCUCUGUGGACAGCUACCUGUUGCCCACCAGUGAUGUGUAUGAUAAUGGCUCCCU
RNAcentral lists this small RNA (561 nucleotides) under Pongo abelii (Sumatran orangutan). RNAcentral describes it as "processed transcript". Lineage: Eukaryota; Metazoa; Chordata; Mammalia; Primates; Hominidae. The record is from RNAcentral.